GACGAAACGCUGGCGGCGCGCCUAACACAUGCAAGUCGAACGGAGCUUAGAUUUUGAAGUUUUCGGUAUGGACGAAUGUAAGCUUAGUGGCGGACGGGUGAGUAAACACGUGAGCAACCUGCCUUCAGAGGGGGAGUAACAGCCGGAAACGGCUGCUAAUACCGCAUAAUAUUGCGGGGGCGACAUGCCCCUCGCAACCAAAAGGAGGCAAUCCGCUGAAAGAUGGGCUCGCGUCCGAUUAGCCAGUUGGCGGGGUAACGGCCCACCAAAGCGACGAUCGGUAGCCGGACUGAGAGGUUGAACGGCCACAUUGGGACUGAGACACGGCCCAGACUCCUACGGGAGGCAGCAGUGGGGGAUAUUGCACAAUGGGCGAAAAGCCUGAUGCAGCGACGCCGCGUGA
This 403-nucleotide ribosomal RNA is filed under the name uncultured bacterium. RNAcentral's name for it is "bacterial SSU rRNA". It matches the Rfam family "Bacterial small subunit ribosomal RNA", at positions 32 to 404 of the family's 1533-position model. The record is from RNAcentral.